RNAcentral lists this transfer RNA (76 nucleotides) under Dehalococcoidia bacterium. RNAcentral describes it as "tRNA-Arg". It matches the Rfam family "tRNA". From Rfam's summary of the family: Transfer RNA (tRNA) molecules are approximately 80 nucleotides in length. Their secondary structure includes four short double-helical elements and three loops (D, anti-codon, and T loops). Further hydrogen bonds mediate the characteristic L-shaped molecular structure. tRNAs have two regions of fundamental functional importance: the anti-codon, which is responsible for specific mRNA codon recognition, and the 3' end, to which the tRNAs corresponding amino acid is attached (by aminoacyl-tRNA synthetases). tRNAs cope with the degeneracy of the genetic code in two manners: having more than one tRNA (with a specific anti-codon) for a particular amino acid; and 'wobble' base-pairing, i.e. permitting non-standard base-pairing at the 3rd anti-codon position. Lineage: Bacteria; Bacillati; Chloroflexota; Dehalococcoidia. The record is from RNAcentral.
ACCCCUGUAGCUCAGGAGGAUAGAGCACCGGUUUCCUAAACCGGGUGCCCCGGUUCGAGUCCGGGCAGGGGUGCCA